GAUGAACGCUGGCGGCGUGCCUAAUACAUGCAAGUCGAGCGAACAGAUGAGGAGCUUGCUCCUCUGACGUUAGCGGCGGCCGGGUGAGUAACACGUGGAUAACCUACCUAUAAGACUGGGAUAACUUCGGGAAACCGGAGCUAAUACCGGAUAAUAUAUUUAACCGCAUGGUUCAAUAGUGAAAGACGGUUUUGCUGUCACUUAUAGAUGGAUCCGCGCCGCAUUAGCUAGUUGGUAAGGUAACGGCUUACCAAGGCAACGAUGCGUAGCCGACCUGAGAGGGUGAUCGGCCACACUGGAACUGAGACACGGUCCAGACUCCUACGGGAGGCAGCAGUAGGGAAUCUUCCGCAAUGGGCGAAAGCCUGACGGAGCAACGCCGCGUGAGUGAUGAAGGUCUUCGGAUCGUAAAACUCUGUUAUUAGGGAAGAACAAAUGUGUAAGUAACUAUGCACGUCUUGACGGUACCUAAUCAGAAAGCCACGGCUAACUACGUG
RNAcentral lists this ribosomal RNA (497 nucleotides) under uncultured bacterium. RNAcentral describes it as "partial 16S ribosomal RNA". It matches the Rfam family "Bacterial small subunit ribosomal RNA", at positions 28 to 507 of the family's 1533-position model. The record is from RNAcentral.